GACGAACGCUGGCGGCGUGCUUAACACAUGCAAGUCGAACGGAAAGGCCCUGCUUUUGUGGGGUGCUCGAGUGGCGAAAGGGUGAGUAACACGUGAGUAACCUGCCCUUGGCUUUGGGAUAUCUGCAGGAAACUGGGGCUAAUACCUGAUAGGAGCUCCUGCUGCAUGGUGGGGUUUGGAAAGUUUCGGCGGUUGGGGGUGGACUCGCGGCUUGUCAGCUUGUUGGUGGGGUAGUGGCUUACCAAGGCAUUGACGGGUAGCCGGCCUGAGAGGGUGACCGGACACAUUGGGACUGAGAUACGGCCGCAGCUGCGACGGGAGGCAGAAGUGGGGAAGAUUGCACAAGGGGCGGCGCCCUGAUGAAGAAGCGCCGCGUGCGGGAUGACGGCCUUCGUGUUGUAGACGGCUUUCGCCUGUGACGAAGCGUGAGUGACGGUAAUGGGUAAAGAAGCACCGGCUAACUACGUG
RNAcentral lists this ribosomal RNA (468 nucleotides) under uncultured bacterium. Its description in RNAcentral is "partial 16S ribosomal RNA". It matches the Rfam family "Bacterial small subunit ribosomal RNA", at positions 28 to 507 of the family's 1533-position model. The record is from RNAcentral.